NCCAGCAGCCAUAUCACCCUGUAGCCCAAGACUGGUUGCCCACUGACUAAGCAGGGCUGUACCUGGACGGGAGACCUCCAGAGAAAACUAGGUUGCUGCUGGAA
Ribosomal RNA from Sinocyclocheilus anshuiensis, 104 nucleotides. The record is from Ensembl. Lineage: Eukaryota; Metazoa; Chordata; Actinopteri; Cypriniformes; Cyprinidae.